AUGGAGAUCGAAUCCAACCCAAAGUAUUGCAGAGUUAUUAAAAGAGCAUCAUCCGAGGAGGACCGGCUGAGUGGCCUCCCCGACGACGUCCUCCACUCGAUCGUCGGCCGGGUCCCCCUCAAACAAGCCGUCUGCACCAGCGCCCUCUCCACGCGGUGGGCAUGCCUGUGGCUCCACGCGCUCGCCGCCUCCGCCGUCCUCGACUUCACCGACAGCGACUUCGUCCGCGGCCAGUCCCCGGAGCAGAUCGUGGCCACGGUGAACCGCUGCCUCGAGGUACACGGCGCGGCGCCCAUCGAUGUGUUCCACAUGGCGUUGUCCCCGUUCGACGCGUUUGGGCGGGACGUCGUCCGGUGGGCCGCGACCGCCUUGGGGAGAGGCGCCAGGGAGGUGGGGGUGGACCUGACGCAGCACGCCAACGGCCGCGGGGCUCUAGAGUUUCCCGGGGACCUCUUCCAGACCGAGAGCUCCCUGGCGGUGCUCAGCUUCGGCCGGUGCAGCCUCCGCGACGUCCAGCCCGGCGCGGCGGGGCUCGCCGGCCUGACAUCGCUCUCCCUCAACCAAGUCGACGUCACCGACGAUGCUCUCCGGGACGUGGUGUCCGGGUGCCGGCUGCUCGAGUUUCUGAGCCUGAAGAGCUGCCACCUCCUCGUGUACGUGAGGGUCGCCGGCGAGAGGCUGCGGGGCCUGCAGAUCGUGCGCUGCCUGGCAAUGCGCCACCUGCAGGUGGCCGCGCCCGUGCUGGAGUCUGUUGCCUACCACGGCGACGUCCUCAUCUGGAGAGAGGACGAGCCGUCCGGCGUGGAGUUCGUUGGCCCAGGCGGCAGGACCGAUGCCAGGCCGGAGCUAAAGGACGCGUACCUGACCCACAUCGGCUAUGCCGAAUACGACGAAGUAAUUCACGAGUUCGCCUACUCAGGCUUCCUGGAUCAGGUCUCGCAUGCCAAGAUUUUGACACUUUGUUCCGUGGGCAUGCUGCACAUGGAAGAAGAGCGACUGUUCUUUGAGGCCAGUGUGGAUAUAUACCCCGAACCUUGA
This 1038-nucleotide ribosomal RNA is filed under the name Triticum aestivum (bread wheat). Its description in RNAcentral is "partial small subunit ribosomal RNA". The record is from RNAcentral. Lineage: Eukaryota; Viridiplantae; Streptophyta; Magnoliopsida; Poales; Poaceae.